This 76-nucleotide transfer RNA is filed under the name Dehalococcoidia bacterium. RNAcentral describes it as "tRNA-Ala". It matches the Rfam family "tRNA". Rfam says of the family: Transfer RNA (tRNA) molecules are approximately 80 nucleotides in length. Their secondary structure includes four short double-helical elements and three loops (D, anti-codon, and T loops). Further hydrogen bonds mediate the characteristic L-shaped molecular structure. tRNAs have two regions of fundamental functional importance: the anti-codon, which is responsible for specific mRNA codon recognition, and the 3' end, to which the tRNAs corresponding amino acid is attached (by aminoacyl-tRNA synthetases). tRNAs cope with the degeneracy of the genetic code in two manners: having more than one tRNA (with a specific anti-codon) for a particular amino acid; and 'wobble' base-pairing, i.e. permitting non-standard base-pairing at the 3rd anti-codon position. Lineage: Bacteria; Bacillati; Chloroflexota; Dehalococcoidia. The record is from RNAcentral.
GGGGCUGUAGCUCAAUUGGGAGAGCGCUUGAAUGGCAUUCAAGAGGUCGGGGGUUCAAGUCCCCCCAGCUCCACCA